UUGCGUUUUAUUUACAUUCCCGUUAGUCAACGCAGUAAAUCAACCUGAUAGUAGUGGUCACCUCAAUGCCUCCUUUGUGAGAAUACGAUUGAGCAUUGUCAUCCAGGAGAGACAGACGCCAGCAUGCUGUGCGGGAGACAGCUUGAAAGAGUGCCAGCGUAAACACUCCCAGACCACAUGUUCUCCCAGGGCAGAGGGGCUGGCCUCUCUCCAGGCACAUCUGCACACAAUCCCCCAGCUUUUAGCGAGCCAGCCGAGGAGACAGAAUGGGGCAAAAGGAGGGAGCAGAGGAGAGGGUGAGAGAAGAGUUCCCAGACAGGGAGAAAACCUGCUUCUCACAGCAAUAGUACCAUCAAUGUGGGAAGUUAUGAUGUCUGAAGGGAAAAAUGUAAAGCAGCGUACAGAGGGAGGAGCGCAAGAAUCUUCUCCCAGCAUGCAAAGUUAAUAAAAAUUGUGUGUGAAGGCUGACCACCAUCUUUGCAAGUGACAUCUGUAUCACACCACUAGAUUCACAUGCCAAGGUCUGCUUGGCAACAUUCAUUACCCAACCUGUCUAUAUCCUUGAGAAGACGGAUUGCAACAUAAAUCAAGCCCUCCUCUCUCACACAUCCUGGCUCUGCAGCUGCUUGUGCAUGUGGUAAACUGGGAUGGUUUUAUCCAGCACAUACACUUUUGAAAACUACCAUUUUAGCUCAUGCUAUGCCUAAAUGUACAUAAAACUUCUGCCAUCCAUCUCUGAAACCCGACCCAACAGCUUUUCUUGUUUUCUGGCACCCAGUUUGCAGCUGAAGUGUUUCUUUGUGCGUAUUUUCACAGAGAGGUAAUUACUGGGCAAGCUAUGCUGACAACACCUGAGGAAUGCAGAGCAUGCACCAGCAGCCUGUGUUCUCAUAACCCCCCAUUACUCACCCCAACUCACUUCUCACCCAUCUGCAAGCCCCCUUCCCCCCAUCAAGAGCUAGUUCACCAUGACAUUCUCACAGGAGUCUUUGAUUUGUUGAACAUGCAGGUGUAGUGUUUAGUUUUAUUGAUGUUUAACCAGGAAACUUCAACCAAAGAUAAUUCAGUGGCUUGAUCACAUCAUUUGCUGUAGUCAGUUAUUAUCAGUCAAGGUUUUUUCUUUUUUAACCAACUAGCGUACAAAACCCAAUCUAAACCCUGCAGCAGCUCCACAACUCCCCACAGGCCCCACUAUUCCCGUUAUUGGUGAAAUCUGAGUGUUGGCUGGCUCAGGUUCUCUGCUGCCUGAGUCACUCCCCAAACUGUCCUUGAGCUCAUAGGAACUCACAGCCCAUCUGGCUGAACACUCGCACACACAUAUCAAAACAUUGCAUAGACUUGAACAGGGGGAGUGAACCACUCUGGGUGACCUAAUUGAGAUCUGAAAAUGUUCCAGUUAGGGAAAAAAAAGCAUUUAUAUCUGGCAGGAGAGAACAAUGUUGAUACAGAACAAUGUUAUUCUUAUGCAAAUGAAACCAAUGCAUCAAGAUUUGACAUUAUACAACUGCAUGUGUGUGGGAGACAGAGAGAUAGAUGGGGAGAGAGCGAUAAAGAUUAUGAAUUCAGCUGAGCCUCUCCCGUCUGUCUGACUAGACUGUCAUGAUGAAAUCAGGAUGAAAUCCCUUGUGCAUGUAGAUCAACAUAAGGCCUGUCCUCUGUCUUUCUGUGCUGCACAGCUCUGCAGAUGUACUGUAGAUGUGUUGUGCAAAAACCAUGGCUAGAAAAACACACUGAAUGGCUGAGUGAACAAUUGCAUGUAUUUUUUCUACACACAUGAGGGCUAAUCAGUCAGGGUAUGCAAGACGAGGCAAAAGGGUCAUGGGACUUAGUUGCCAAGCAACCUCUGUUGAUACAAACAUUUUUUUGUCGUAUGAUGGGAGCCAUCUAAAAGUAAGACAGUGACUGAAAAAGAUACAUAAAAAUGAUGAUGGAGGUACAGUCUUAUCUUCCAGUGUGCAGAUAAACACACUAUAAGCAUUAUAAAUGAGUAGUCAUGAGGACAUUCAUUGGAUAGUGAGUGAUAUUCAAGCUCCACUAUUAUAGGCAAAAUAAUAUCUUGAAAAGAGUUGGGUAUUUUAGAAGCAUUAUAGCAUGAUAUUAGGUUUUCAAUAUGUGUGACUUUGGUUGUAUAAACAAUAUUUCUGACGUACAUACUUGUUUAUUUCAAAAGAAGGGUAAGGCAACAAUCAUAGUACUCCAUCUUAGAAGUACGCAAAGCAAAAAGAUAAUCGAUUGAAAUUACUGUAAUUCAUACGUAUAGACUUUCCCCCCCUUUUUUUUUUGCACUUUCAGUUAUAUUGUUCUUUGACUUGUUCUUCAUAUUCUCAAGACAAUAUUCUGUCCACUGCAACUAUAAGUACUCCUACAACUCUCUAGAUAAUAGUCAGUGAGCAAGCCGCUAAAAAUGGAUGGAUGCUUUUUGUCCAGUGCACAUGAUGGUCUGUAUGCUGUUAUAAAGCACUGCUUUCCUACCUUAGACCAACGUUUAAUUAGUUUGUACAUAAUGAUAAAUACUUUACUUCACUAUUUUUGAAUUGGAAUAAGUUAAAUGGGAUCAAAAUUUACCAAUUUGAGGUAAAAUAAAAGUAUCUUGGUAAACUAGCGCUUACUAAACAGAGCAUUAAUUUCAUUUAAUUAAUUUAACUGAAUUUCCCUUCAAGGAUAGUGUAGCGACUGCUUUCCUCGUUGGGGUUUAGGCUCACAUGCAUCUGUGACUUGCUUGAAUGAUCAGUCCGAUUUGAGUGUUAGAAAAAAUGAUUUAUUGUUCAAAAAAGGGGAAAGAAAACACGCUGCUCUGGGUCCAAUACUUUUGCCUUCAACUGAAAAGGUGAAAUGAGGUUAAAACAGGAUGAAUGAAUGAAUCAGUGAAAAACAAUGAGAAACGGUCAAAAAACGAUCAAAAUGAUCAAAAUGAUCAAAACGCUCAAAACGUUCAAAACGUUCAAAACGCAGUCAACAGAAAAUUAUCAGUGCUUACCAAACCCCUUGUCUGACUGCACCUGUGAGUUUUAAAUAACCCGCCAAACAUCCCAAACCCACACCCCUCAGUGAUGAUCCCGGAAGUGACGUGCCUACAAAAUUAAAACUUUCAAAAAAUAUAUUUUGGCUCCUACAGAUAGAUAAAGUUCUUCUUCCUUACUUUUAAGCUCCAUUAAGAAGCGGUCCCUUAAAAUAUUUGAUCAUUUCACACUGAAAAGAAAAACAUGAUGCUAUUUUUUGCAUCUAUCUUCAUUUGUAAUCAGAUAUUACAAAUAAUUUAGUUCAAGGUUUUUAAAUGACAUGUUAAAUGAUCCACUACUACUUGGUGACAAAUCAACCAUUUAACCAUAGUGGUUUUAUCACACAAAGACUUGUAGAUAACUGUUAAAAAUGUUCAACAGCUAUUUUAUGCAAGAAACCCUACUAUCAUUACUUUAAGCCAACACUUUACUCUAUUCAUCCACUGUUUUUAGCUCUCAACCAACCCC
Molecule: long non-coding RNA, 3467 nt
Filed under: Xyrichtys novacula (pearly razorfish)
Lineage: Eukaryota; Metazoa; Chordata; Actinopteri; Labriformes; Labridae
Source: RNAcentral